AACGAACGCUGGCGGCAUGCCUAACACAUGCAAGUCGAACGAGACCUUCGGGACUAGUGGCGCACGGGUGCGUAACGCGUGGGAACCUGCCCUUAGGUUCGGAAUAACUCCCCGAAAGGGGUGCUAAUACCGGAUAAUGGCUUCGGACCAAAGAUUUAUCGCCUUUGGAUGGGCCCGCGUUGGAUUAGCUAGUUGGUAGGGUAAAAGCCUACCAAGGCGACGAUCCAUAGCUGGUCUGAGAGGAUGAUCAGCCACACUGGGACUGAGACACGGCCCAGACUCCUACGGGAGGCAGCAGUGGGGAAUAUUGGACAAUGGGCGAAAGCCUGAUCCAGCAAUGCCGCGUGAGUGAUGAAGGCCUUAGGGUUGUAAAGCUCUUUUACCCGGGAUGAUAAUGACAGUACCGGGAGAAUAAGCUCCGGCUAACUCCGUG
RNAcentral lists this ribosomal RNA (433 nucleotides) under uncultured bacterium. RNAcentral's name for it is "partial 16S ribosomal RNA". It matches the Rfam family "Bacterial small subunit ribosomal RNA", at positions 29 to 507 of the family's 1533-position model. The record is from RNAcentral.